Molecule: ribosomal RNA, 910 nt
Filed under: uncultured bacterium
Lineage: Bacteria
Description: bacterial SSU rRNA
Rfam family: Bacterial small subunit ribosomal RNA
Source: RNAcentral
ACGCCGGCGGCGUGCCUAAUACAUGCAAGUGGGACGCAAGGAAACACACUGUGCUUGCACACCGUGUUUUCUUGAGUCGCGAACGGGUGAGUAACGCGUAGGUAACCUGCCUAUUAGCGGGGGAUAACUAUUGGAAACGAUAGCUAAUACCGCAUAAUAUUAAUUAUUGCAUGAUAAUUGAUUGAAAGAUGCAAGCGCAUCACUAGUAGAUGGACCUGCGUUGUAUUAGCUAGUUGGUAAGGUAAGAGCUUACCAAGGCGACGAUACAUAGCCGACCUGAGAGGGUGAUCGGCCACACUGGGACUGAGACACGGCCCAGACUCCUACGGGAGGCAGCAGUAGGGAAUCUUCGGCAAUGGACGAAAGUCUGACCGAGCAACGCCGCGUGAGUGAAGAAGGUUUUCGGAUCGUAAAGCUCUGUUGUAAGUCAAGAACGUGUGUGAGAGUGGAAAGUUCACACAGUGACGGUAGCUUACCAGAAAGGGACGGCUAACUACGUGCCAGCAGCCGCGGUAAUACGUAGGUCCCGAGCGUUGUCCGGAUUUAUUGGGCGUAAAGGGAGCGCAGGCGGUCAGGAAAGUCUGGAGUAAAAGGCUAUGGCUCAACCAUAGUGUGCUCUGGAAACUGUCUGACUUGAGUGCAGAAGGGGAGAGUGGAAUUCCAUGUGUAGCGGUGAAAUGCGUAGAUAUAUGGAGGAACACCAGUGGCGAAAGCGGCUCUCUGGUCUGUCACUGACGCUGAGGCUCGAAAGCGUGGGUAGCGAACAGGAUUAGAUACCCUGGUAGUCCACGCCGUAAACGAUGAGUGCUAGGUGUUAGGCCCUUUCCGGGGCUUAGUGCCGGAGCUAACGCAAUAAGCACUCCGCCUGGGGAGUACGACCGCAAGGUUUGAACUCAAAGGAAUUGACGGG